AUUGAACGCUGGCGGCAUGCCUAACACAUGCAAGUCGAACGGAAACGAUGGGAGCUUGCUCCCAGGCGUCGAGUGGCGGACGGGUGAGUAAUGCUUAGGAAUCUGCCCAGUAGUGGGGGACAACCAGGAGAAAUUCUGGCUAAUACCGCAUACGCACUACGGUGGAAAGUGGGGGACCUUCGGGCCUCACGCUAUUGGAUGAGCCUAAGUCGGAUUAGCUUGUUGGUAGGGUAAUGGCCUACCAAGGCGACGAUCCGUAGCUGGUCUGAGAGGACGAUCAGCCACACUGGGACUGAGACACGGCCCAGACUCCUACGGGAGGCAGCAGUGGGGAAUAUUGGACAAUGGGCGCAAGCCUGAUCCAGCAAUGCCGCGUGUGUGAAGAAGGCCUGCGGGUUGUAAAGCACUUUCAGUAGAGAAGAAAAGCCUAGGGUUAAUAACCCUGAGUCUUGACGUAACCUACAGAAGAAGCACCGGCUAACUCCGUG
Molecule: ribosomal RNA, 488 nt
Filed under: uncultured bacterium
Lineage: Bacteria
Description: bacterial SSU rRNA
Rfam family: Bacterial small subunit ribosomal RNA
Source: RNAcentral